Molecule: ribosomal RNA, 357 nt
Filed under: Brachyura sp. 2 KYKC-2019
Lineage: Eukaryota; Metazoa; Arthropoda; Malacostraca; Decapoda
Also listed under: 1 other name
Description: partial small subunit ribosomal RNA
Source: RNAcentral
CUCAAUUACUAAUAGUUAAGUUCUUUAAAUUUAAAAAAUUUGGCGGUAAUUUAGUCUAGUCAGAGGAACCUGUUUUAUAAUCGAUAAACCACGAAUUAUCUUAUUUGCUUUAAUUAAUAAAAACUAAAGUUUGUAUACCGCCAUUAUCAGAUAAAUUUUCAAAAAUAUUAUUGAAAUGUAUUAAGUUAAGAUAAAUUAGGUCAAGGUGCAGCUUAUAAGUAAGUAAAAAUGGGUUACGUUAGCGUAAAAAGCUAAUUAAUAAGUUUUGAAUAAUGCUUAAAAAUAGGAUUUGAUUGUAAUUAAAAUUUAAUAAGUUUAAAUAAUAUUAGCACUAAAUUGUGUACAUAUUGCCCGUCG